Molecule: transfer RNA, 62 nt
Filed under: Scotomedes sp. HL-2012
Lineage: Eukaryota; Metazoa; Arthropoda; Insecta; Hemiptera; Velocipedidae
Description: tRNA-Ala
Source: RNAcentral
GGGAUAAUAGUUAUAUAAUAACAUUUAAUUUGCAAUUAAAAGGUACUACUAAGUUUAUCUCA